AAUUUUGUGGUGGAGAUGAAUAUAUGGAAUUGAUGUAUAAAACCAUUAGAUUGAUUGAAUUUGGGAUGUCUAUGAAUUUUAUUAAUACGGAAUUGAAAUGCUUCUGCAAUUUGUUUCGGGUUUACGGUAGUCUAAAAAAAUUUUGCAGUCUUUCUUUAUGUUUAAAUAUCUUCCAAGGAAACUGACAGAAAAGAAGAUGGGUAUUCCUUAUCCAGUAGCGAGAUCAAGCAGUUUCAAUUGACAAUGGAGGAAGUUGAUGAGCUGCUGAAGAGCAGCACAUUUGAGCUUGGUUAUCUGGUCAACUUGCGGACCUUGCUUUGUAGGAAGUGCAAUGAAACAUUCAGAAGACUGGAGGGGAAAGAUCAGAAAUGCUUAAGCUUCAAUCAAAUGUUGUAGGAGCACUUAAAUGCAGCUCAAGACGUAAUUUCUACUUUCUGAAUUUAUAUGAAACUAUCAAAACCCUAGUAUUUUUUCCAGAAAGUGUAGAGUCAAAUGACAUUAACUUUGAAGCAUGGAUGGUGAAAUGAAAGGCAUAGCCUAUCACAACAGCAAA
This is a long non-coding RNA of Rosa rugosa (rugosa rose), 553 nucleotides long. RefSeq lists it as uncharacterized. The record is from RefSeq and is a predicted model, not a curated record. The transcript has 4 exons. Lineage: Eukaryota; Viridiplantae; Streptophyta; Magnoliopsida; Rosales; Rosaceae.